Molecule: long non-coding RNA, 14251 nt
Filed under: Equus caballus (horse)
Lineage: Eukaryota; Metazoa; Chordata; Mammalia; Perissodactyla; Equidae
Description: lncRNA (ENSECAG00000059827.1)
Source: RNAcentral
GUGAGUACUGCAGGCCUGGGGGGCCCGGGCCGGCUGGCCAGAGCCGCCCCGAGGGACGACGAUGAGGAUGCCCGGAGCCGCUUUGCCCGUGACGGGCACGUCCUGACCCCCAUCUCCCGCACACUGGGGCUCCCGGCGGGUCCUAGCUCCCCCCGAUUGAGCUUUACUCGUAUUGUUUUCGUGUUCACACACUUGGGAGGUGGGGAGCUGGCGAGGGGAGGCAAGAGGAGACAUCCCUCGCGCGAGGGAGCAGUCAGGAGGGAGACAAGCCAGAGGCGCCCAGGUGCCCGGCGCCAAAUGGAAGUGACAGCGUCCAGGCGUUGGCAUUCGGUCUUCCCGGCAGCAGGAGGUCAGCGCUGACCUGCGGCGGCGGUGGCACUUUGUAUUUGUCGGCUGAUUUUUAUCAACUUCGGGGAGGGCAUGCGUGUGCGUGCGUGUGCCUGUGUGUGUAUCUCCGUCCCUGACUUGGGCACCUCCAGGCCUGGGUUUUCGGCGACGCUGCCUGGGCGCUCACCUUGGCGAUCCGUGCCGCACUCGGGGCCGGACACACGGGGCAGAGAGCCUGGGGGGCGGCACACAGGGCCGGGGACCUGCGGCUGACCUGGGAGGGAGCAUUUAAAGCAGCAUCUUGCGCGCGCGCAGACAAUAACGGGUCUGGAUGCGGGGUCCCGGGGGCUGUGCGUUGGGUCCCCGCGCCGAUCUCGACCCCGCCUCUCCCUCUCGUGGGCUUGGCCGCUCGAUGCUGCUGCGCGGCGCCGCUCACCGCCCGGCGGGGGACCCGCGUGGGGCCCGCUUUUGUUUACAGACCUCGCCAUUGGGUGAAAGCUGCGCUCUGUGCUCCCCCAGCCCAGGCCGCCGCCGCGCGCCCCCUCCGAGCCUGGAGAAGUUGGUGCGUGCUGUCAGGUGACGCCCCCUCCCCCGGCCUCCUGGCGAGAUGCUGCAGGGAAAAGACGCCCAGACGGCGCCUUCGCGCCCAGUCGCCGCCGCGCACGGCGCCCCCAGGCCCCCAGCGCCCAGCGGCGCCGUGCCCUGGCCAGGGGCCCUCUCAGAUUGGCGGCCGUCGGGGCGCUGACCGAGCUUUGCUCACCUCCUUUCCGGUAGCAUCCUUUGGCCUUGCCCUCGGAUCAGCCCAGGUUGAUUCCCUGUCUGCCUUUUCCUGCGUGUUGGCAAGUCUUGAAGGACGCGCGCGAGCCCUUGGGGACGCUGGCCAAUCCGUGCCCGCUUCAGUGGUACCCACGCGGCUCCGCGGAGCAGCUGUGGAGCAUCCUUGAGGCAGAGCGGUCCCGCUCUGGUUACCCGCGCGUGUUGACUUGGCGCGCACUUUGUUCGAGCUGGAGCAGAGCUUAAGAGCCUGGGCGCUGAGGUCAAAGGAACCCGGGUUCCGAUGCCCUCUCAGCGUCACUCAAUCUGGGGAAUAUACGCCGAGCUACUUCAUCUCCCUGCGUCUCAGUUUUCGCGUCUGUAAAGUGGGGAUAAUGAAUAACCCCAUUUGUGGGGAGUUUUAAGCAACAGUAUAAAUAAACUCCUUUGUGUGGCGAAUGCCACCUAUGAAACGCUGGAAUAAGGUUUCCCUGGGAGAGGGAAUCUGUUACAGAGGCCGGCCCGUGUCUCCAACCCCUCUCUGCAUUUCUUCAGUCUCCCAGCUUUUAUUUUAUUUUAAGAAGCUUGCGAAGGACUCCUGUUCUCAGUUUCAAACACGGCUUGUUUGACUUGGCCUCACGUUUAACUAUACUUGUCUAAUCGCUUACAGUUCCUUUUUAUGUGUUUGGAUUUCCACUAGGUUUUAGUCGUUUCUUCUUCCUCAAGGCUAUGCCGAGGCCCAGGCCUGGGUUUGGAGGAGGGAGACUUGUCCAGGUGCCAAGUGGUGGCCUGGGAGCCAAUGGCGGUUGUGCGAAGUGCUUACCCCAGGGUGGAGGGAGGUUUGAACAAAGAGAUACCUGGAGGCAGGGAGGAAACACUUCCUGGUCGAAGUGAAAUUUGAGCCGUGUCUUGUAGCAGAAGUUUGGUAAAUGGGUGGUUUCUAGAAUAUUCUCUUUGAUACCCCUACAGUAAAGAGCUCUGCCAAGGAUGUUGUCUUGGAGCGGUAUACAGCAAAGUUGCUAAGUAAUUAUCUUUGAAUAGAGGAGAAAUAAAUCUAAGGAGGAGGCUGCUGACUAACUAGGGAAGAUAGAAGCGGAGAAUUGAUUUCACUGAAUAUCUUCAAAAUGCUGUCAGUGUGUUUUGACUUGUUUUUUCCUCUGCUUCAUCAGCUCAGCAUUGCUGAUUUUCUAUAGGCAAAGAGAGAAGCCAGUUUCAUACAGGAAAAAUACAAACAAUAGCAAAAACAACCUCCUCAACAACCCAGAAUCAGAUAAAUAGUUUAAAAGAGACAAUCUCAGGCUUGGCUACGGAAUAAGGAAUUAUUGGAAAAUUCCUAUUUCAACGCUCUUUUGCCUGUUGGGGCAAAUUAUUGAGCUGGGUGCAGUAACACAUCCUUUGAAUGUAGACCCCUGGGGCCUUUACCAGCCCAAACAAACAAACAAACAAACAAACACAAACUAGGUGAGGGACCUGCAGUCUGUCCAGUGGGCACGGAAGCCCACAGGGAACACUGCUCACCUCCCCCUGCCUCGGUUGCCCCAAGUGGAGGCUGACUUCUGCAAGUGGCGCGGCCAGUAGCGUUAUUGCUAGACAGCAAUUAAUGCAUGUGAUAACGUGUUUAAAGUUCCACACCCAGAAAUGAUCCUGAGCCUUCCUGCACUUGUUCUGGGAAUUCUCUGGCCCUUAGGGAUGCUGAAGGCAGCUUUGCCCCUGCUGCUGUCUGGGGAUCAAAUCAGUUGGGGGCCUAGACUUAAAAGGGAGCACAUGGUUAGGAAAUCUCAUUAGCUGACAAUUUAACUCCACUCUAAUGCUCUUCCAAAGAGCUGGGACAGAGGCUUCCUCCUUUCCCCCUGCAGCUCUCCUCGCUCCCCCUCUAAACCCGAGAGGAAAGGCAGCACUGUCCUGUGUCCCCCCCAUCCUGCCAAAUUCCUGCAGUUCUGGCUAGCUGACUGAACCCUGGGCAUUCUGGAGUGCCCGGGCAGGAAUUCCUCCCCAAAAACUUUGCUGAGCUGGUGGCCUCCUGGGCGUGCGUGUUAACGCUUAGCCCUUUCCUUUCCGCAAGGAGCUUACUGUCAGAAGCAGCAUUUCUGUGAGACAGCCUUUUAAUAGAUGCGCAGAACAAGCCUUUGCAUUCCCAAGGGCAGGUGAGAGCUUAGGAAUCCCAUGGAAACUUCAUCUGGAAGUCAGUGAUGCAGGGGGCUUCUGCCUGUGUGAGAGGACAGGAGGGGUGGGGAGGAGAAGGCAGAGAGAGGAUUUGGUACCUAGGGGCAAUGUACGGAGUCCCAUGAGAUUCCUGAACCCCACAGUUCAGGCUUGCGGUUGAGAAAGAGCCUUAUUUUCAAUCUCUCCAGUCAUUUGGACUCCUGCAUCGAAAACACUGUUUCCCUGGGCAUGAGUGUGUUUGUGUGCACGCACGCGCGUGUGUGUGUAUACACGUUUAUAUACACACAUGCAUAUAUACGUAUACAUUUUCCUUUCUGAAUUAAUCAGAUAUGGGACCGGCUGGUGGCUCAGCGGUUAAGUGCGCGUGUUCUGCUUGGGUGGCCUGGGGUUCGCUGGUUCGGAUCCUGGGUGCAGACAUGGCACUGCUUGGCACACCAUGCUGUGGUAGGCGUCCCACAUGUAAAGUAGAGGAAGAUGGGCAUGGAUGUUAGCUCAGGGCCAGUCUUCCUUGGCAAAAAGAGGAGGAUUGGCAUCAGAUGUUAGCUCAGGGCUAAUCUUCCUCAAGAAAAAAAAAAUUAAGCGGAUAGAGUGUAUGUUUCUGCGUGUGUGUCUAUCUUUUUGGUUUUUCUUCCCCCCUCAAAAAAGGACCAGGAAAAAACAGGUUUGCAAGGCCCCAGCAAAAUUUUUCUGUUUUUUAGGAUACCAAACUUCAGGUGAUUUCAUCUCUAAAUAUUCAGUUCUUUUCUUUUUAAAGAUUGGCACCUGAGCUAACAACUGUUGCCAGUCUUCUUUUUUUUUCCUGCUUUUUCUCCUCAAAUUCCCCCAGUACUUAGUUGUAUAUUCUAGGUUGUAGGUCCUUCUAGUUGAGUUAUGUGGGACACCGCCUCAGCAUGGCCUGACAUGCGGUGCCAUGUCCACGCCCAGGAUUUGAACUGGCAAAACCCUGGGCCGCCGAAGCGGAGCACGUGACCAUAAUCAUUCAGCCACGGAGCCAGCCCCUAAAUAUUCAGUUUUAUGUAAGUAAUAAUCCUGUGCUAGAAAAAUUCUCUCAUCAUUGUAGGCCAAAUCACUUACUUUAAAGGUUUUCUUUUAUUAUUAAAGGAGGCACUCAAAAAUAAAGUAGUGCUUCGCAAGGAACAGAGUGUUUUGAAAAUAAAACAAUGCUCUAGUGUAAGAGGUACAAGAUGUUAGUACAUAGGCGGGUUUUUCGCUUCUGUCACCUUCCCUCCCCCCCCCCCCCCCACCGCACCUUCCUCCACACCCCUCCAGCAUAAGACUUUCACUGUUCCCUGUGGUCUCCAGGGGCCUCAUUAAGAAAUUCAUAAAGGUCUAGACUGUGGAUGUGGAGAGAUUCCUCCCGUGCUUGUGUGAGAUUUUUCUAGAAGACCUUGGAGCUCUCUUGCUCAGUGAGGAGAUUCUUCUCUAGUUGUGCCGAGGCUGAGCUGAGAGACUUGUAUUCUGCUGCAGGAGGGGUCUCAGUUCAUUGAAACCGGUGGGGUCCACAAUACGGGCAUGAUAUAAGAGCCGGUCCAUUGUGUGCAUUCAAAGGAUGUUAAACAGAGCGAUCAUUCAUUGAGGGACUCUGUGGGGUGAAGGCUCUUUCAGCCGGGCGCAUCCUCCUGUUCAGAAUGGGUCAAGGCCCUUUGCAUCUUGGUGCUGUCACAGAGUAUCUGUCUGUCAAGGGAGAUUUCGAGGUAGUUGGAGGCAAGCGGGAUCCUAGCAUUUUGGAGCCCAGCAAAACUGAAGUGUGUUAUGAAAGAUUCCGCAGAUUUUCUGGCCGGGGUCACUUAGACUUCGUGAAGGAAGAGAAAUAAAAGGGAUUGGGGAGUGUCUUUGCUUUAAAAAAAAAAAUAAGACGGCUGCAUUAUUUAAUUCCAGCUUCUGUCCCCAUGGAGCAUGAUUUUAUUAAGUGCCACUGGAUUAGUAUACAGGUGAGUACACAGGUGUGUGAGCAAAUAUGUGGUUGGGAGACAGUGGACUGAGGGGCCCAAUCUGGGCUUGGAAUGGGCGGGGAGUGGUCGGGAGGUUCAGCUACAGAGAUUCAGUUGCUUUUCCUUAAAAACGCCAAACCCAGUUUUCUGUGGCCACAGAGAAGACGGGAUAUCCUGCAGAAAGAAGCUGCCACUGCAGUGGCUGCCUCCAGCCGAGCGCUCUCCUCCUGGGCCAGGAGCUGCGAGCCUUGUAGACAGAUCCAUUCUAGUUCCUGCUCCUGGUCUCCUCGGCCCUCCGCAGAGGUGAUGAUGAGCCCUGGAAAGCCACCAGUCAGCCCCGAGGGAGAGGGAGGUCAGGCUGAGUCACCAGUCUGGGAAUCCUCCCUGUGGAGCUGUCAGGACCAUGGACGUGGAUGGGAUGCUCCACCCAAGGCUGCUCCGAAGAGGGGGUGGUGGUGGGCCUGAUGCCUGCAGGGUAGACUGAACUUUUUGUGUUUAUUGUUUUGAACUUUGUUUUAAGCUUUUAGAAGACACUAUUGUUGGCUUAUGUCUUAAAUCCUUAACAUAUCCUGGAGCAAAACAAAUAAACGAAAUAAAACGAGGAACAGCUUUUUUUUGGACUCCUCAUCUAUGAGACAGUGAGGGUAAAACAAAUUAUUUCUGAGGACCUUUCUGGCUUCUGCUGUUCCACGUCCUAUGUCUGAUUUUAGGAACCAGAAGUUUAAAAGGUGAAUGGGUUGCAACAUUAAGAGUUCUGAUUCUGGGGAAAUGGUUGUAGAUGACCUAUUGUGACUGUUUUUUGUUUUCUGUUAAGAGAUGUAAUUUUUUUUUGAGCAGGUUUAGGUUCACAUCAAAAUUGGUCAGAAAGUACAGAGAGUUCCCUCUCAUAUACUGCUGGUGGGAAUGCAAACUGGUGCAGGCUCUAUGGAAAACAGUAUGGAGAGUCCUUAAAAAAUUAAGAACAGAACGACCAUAUGAUCCAGCUGUUGCACUGCUGGAUAUUUAUCCAAAGAACAUGAAAAGACGAAUGCGUAAAGAUACAUGCACCCCUAUGUUCAGUGUGGUGUCAUUCAUAAUAGGUAAGAGUUGGAAACAACCUAAGUGCCCAUUCAAGGGAGGAAUGGAUACGGAAGCUGUAUAUAUACACAAUGGAAUACUACUCAGCCAUAAAAAAAGAUGAAAUCUUGCCAAUUGCGACAACAUGGAUGGACCUUGAGGGUAUUAGGCUAAGUGAAAUAAGUCAGAGGGAGAAAGAAAUACCGUAUGAUGUCACUCUUAAGUAGAAGAUAAAAACAACAAGAACAGCAACAAACAAGUAUAUAGAUACAGAGAUUAGAUUGGUGGUUACCAGAGGAAUGGGGGAGGGAGGGAGGUGAAAGGGGUGACUGGGCACGUGUGUGGUGAUGGAUCGUAAUUAGUCUUUGGGUGGUGAACACAAUGUAGUCUACACAGAAAUCAAAAUAUAAUGAUAUACACCUGAAAUUUAUGUAAUAUAAACCAAUGUUACCGCAAUAAAAAAAGAAAGAAAGAAAGUACAGAGAUUUCCCAUAUACCCCUGUCCCUACACAGGCACAGCCUCCCCCACUGUCAGCAUCCCCACCAGAGUGGUGCAUUUGUUACCAUCAAUGAACCUACACUGACACGUCAUUGUCACCCAGAGUCCAUAGUUACCUUAGAGUUCACUCUUGGUGCUGUUCAUUCUAUGUGUUGGUCAAAGGUACGCUACAUGUAUCCGCCAUUAUGGUAUCAGACAGAGCAGUUUUACUGCCCUAAAAAUCCUCUGUGCUCUGCCUGUUCAUCUCCCCUUCCCCACUAACCCCUGGCAGCCACUGAUUUUUUUUCCUGUCUCUGUAGUUUUGCCUUUUCCAGAAUGUCAUGGAGUUGGCUGGCGGCUGGUUUUGAGAAGGCCGUGUCACCCUUGAGUCAUUCCUCAGGAGUCUCUCCCCACCAUCCUCUGCCCUUCUCCUCUGAUUGCCUCUAGACUGGGAUUUUAGAGUUGGAAAGCUUGAUAGAUAAGGCCUUUUCAACCCAGGAAUUGUCUCUGUGACACACUGGCUGGGGAAUGUCACCUGAGCCUUUGUUGUGGUUCCCAUUAUGGAGCCGAGGGAAGAACCAGAGACCCAGUGUCGGAAGGUCUGGUUCUGGUCCUGGCAUUGACCAAGUCACUUGCCCUUUCUGAGGCUGGCCCUCUCUGGUCCCUCAAUGGAGUGACGCCAGAGCUGUGCCCCCUUCCAGGUUGUAGGGGUGACAUGAGAGAUGUGCGGGCUGGCCUUUGUUAACUCCAAAGGAAGGUACGAAAGGCAUCUGAGGAGGCUGACCCCGCACAGCCUUGUCCUUGGUUGAGCAAGCAAAUUGUCAGAAGACUGCUCCCUGCAGGCAGUGGACGUCUGCCUUCCUGAAACUUCCUCCCACCCACGCCACCCUGCCCUAAGGCGGCGUGUUCUGUGAACACCCAAUUCAGCAUUUCAAAUUUUGGUGUUGGGAAGUGUCAGGGGCUGUAUUGUGUCCCCCAAACUUCAUACGUUGAGGCCCUAAUCCACAGGACCUCAGAAUCUGUGACUGCAUUUGGAGACGGGGCCUUCAAAGAGGUGAGUAAGUUAAAACGAGGCAUUAGGCUGGGCCUUAAUCCAGCCUGACUGGUGUCCUUAAAAGAAGAGGAAAUUGGGACAUACAGAGAGCCACCAGGAAUGCUGGACCACCAAGGAAAGACCACGUGAGGCCACAGUGGGAAGGCAGCUGUCUACAAGCCAAGGAGGGAGACCUCAGCAGAAACCAUCUGCUGGCACCUUGAUCUCAGACUUCAGUCUCCAGAAGAGUGAGAAGAUAAAUUUCUGUUGUUUACCCCUCGCAGUGUGUGGUAUUUUGUUAUGACAGCCCUACCCAACGAAUACAGGAAAAUGGUUCCAUUUCUCUCCAUCUUCCGACCUCUUCAUUUUCAAUGUCUUAUUGCAGCCCCUUUGACACUUUUCUUAUUGAACUUUUCUUAGUGAGACUUGCAGAUCAAAUGGUAUCCUUCGCUUUAUUCUUUCUUCUGGGCAAAGCACGAGGUGUCAUUUUUUUUACAAGUAAAUCAUUCAUGUUUUUUUUUUUUUGCUGAGGAAGAUUUGCCCUGAGCUAAGAUCCAGUGCUAAUCUUCCUCUUUUUGUUUGUGAGCUCCCAUCACAGCAUGGCCACUGAUAGAUGAGCGGUAUAGGUCCAUGCCUGGGAAACGAACCCAGGCUGCUGAAGCAGAGCACACCAAACUUAACCACUGGGCCAUGGGACCAGCCCCAUUAAUACUUUUAUAAAUGGUGUUUAUGACAAUGACCGUUAUACUGGCCACCGUUUAUGGAUCCUCUCCUUGGUGCUGGGUGUUUUCGCUACUUUAUACAUUAUCAUUAAAAAAUCCUUGCAAGGUGGGUAUUGUUAUCCCAUUUUACAGAUGAGAAAGUGGGGAAGCAGAGAGAGUAGAUGACGUGAGCAAGGCCACACAACCUGGAUCCACGAAAUCCAACGCUCAUCAGCUGAUGACAGCAGCUGUGUUUUUAUGGGGGCUGGGAUCGACUGAUCCCCACCCCCCCAAAUAUUCUGCCUCGUUCAAGGCCGUUCAUUUCCACCCUUCUCAUUUCAUAUCCCUCUCCUGAGCAGGCCAGUGUGCCCACAUGCCCCGCCCGCCUGAGCAGACUGUUUAUUGUGGAAUAACCAGCCCUUUCUCUUUCCUCCUCUCAAUUAAUGCAAUCCAAUAGCUGAGAGUCCUCAGUCAAAGGUAUUUUCUUUAGGCGAGACCGUUUAAGAGUGGAAGAAAUUUCCUGUUGAGAGGUUUUAUAUAUGUGGUGUGUGUGUGCUCCGGGAGGCAAAUGGAUGUUUAAGUGUGUGUGAGGUAAAGUAUAGCAGACUCCGGAAGUCUGGGGACCGCUCAGGUCCGUAACCCUUACUCUCGCACCAGCUGUCCCGCUCUGCGAGGCCUUCUGGGUUUCCCAUUUAUGGGGCCCUUUGACUGUUACGACACCUGUUUAAAUCUGGUGUUUCCAUUACAGGGAGGGGUUUGGUAGGUGGCUGGAACGGGAGACCGUGCAGCAGUCACGUGUGCAGCCUGCCCCUCCUCCGGCUACUUCUUAUGGAAAAUCCAUUUUUGGUGUUUUGUUUCAGUGAGAAAAGCAUAAAAAUAUUUUCAGGGACCCACCUCCCCCUUGCUUGCAGCUAAAAUUUCAGCCUUUGACGAGGGGGGCCCAAAUCUCUUUUGAACAAAGACAGCACGAAUCAACGCGUUGUUGUCUCCACAUUACUUUUGGGAAAAAAGAUGAUCUUUUCAAGCAUGUUACGUGGACUUUGUUCCGUGAAAUUGCAUGACUUUAAACUUGCCUGGUGAUGGCAUUCUGUGUCAUCUCCUUUAGAAUUAUUGGCCUCGUCAGGCAGGAGAUCUUUGCUGUAGACAGAGCAAUGUUAUCCCCAUUUUACAGAUAGGAAGCUAUUUACCAACAUUUGUGUAUGUGUAUAUAUAUAUGUCUCCUUAUUUAAAUAUAUGUAUGUAUCUUUAUUUAAAAAAAUAUUGAGGGGCCGGCCCUGUGGCCAAGUGGUUAAGUUCUCGUGCUUCGCUCUGGCGGCCCAGGGUUUCGCUGGUUCAAAUCCUGGGCGCGGACAUGGCACCGCUCAUCAGGCCAUGUUGAGGCAGCGUCCCGCAGGCCACAACUAGAAAGACCUGCAACCAAGAUAUACAACUAUGUACCAGGGGGAUUUGGGGAGAUAAAGCAGAAAAAACAAAAGAAAGAAAGAUUGGCAACAGUUAUUAGCUCAGGUGCAAAUCUUUAAAAAAACAGUAUUGAAAUUGAAAUACAACAUGCAUAUAGAAGAGUGUACAUUAUUCUAAAUCUGUAGCUUAAUGAAUUCUUACAAACAACACACCCAUGUAACCAGCACUCAGAUUCAGAACCAGAACAUGUGGAGACCCCAGAAACCUCCCCUCUGCCCCUUUCCUUUCAGGGCAACCCAAUCUUGAUUUCUGGCACCAUUGAUCAGUUGUUGUCCUUGAUAAUAACGGAAUCAUUUUUCAUCAAUUGUUUUCCAUCAGUUUUGCCUUUACGUGGUUGCAAGAUAGAAGCUAUCUAAUAAAGUCCACAUGAAGAAGUCUUGUUCUCACCCUCUCCUUAUUAACCCCAUUCUGUCUAUACCCUCAGGGAACUCCUUUUCUUGGUUUCCCGAGAAUCCUUGCAGUAUUGGUGUAGAUAAACACAGGUGUGUAUUCUAAUUUUCACAAUUUUCUUUUUCAAAAGAUGGCACCCCCUCCUCCCUGCCCUACGCCUUGCUGUGUUACCUCCCUCGGUCCCUCGGCUUCAGUCCUAUUACCCACCAUGGUUCAGGCCCUGUGUAGAGGGUUGAGUAGUGUCCCCCCAAAACUCAAGUCCACUGGGAGCUCCGAAUGUCACCUUAUUUGGAAAUAGAGUCUUCGCAGAUAUAAAUUGUUAAGAGGAGGUCAUAGUGGAUUAGGGUGGGCCCUAAAUCCAGUGAUUUCCGAUCCGGAGACGCAGACACAAGGGGAGAAGGCUGUGAUGAUGGGGGCAGAAACUGGAGUGGGGUACGUACAGGCUGUGGAUUGCGGGAGCCACCAGGGGCUGAAAGAGACAAGAAAGAUCCUCCUCCAGAGCCUCUAGGGGGAGCGCAGCCUUGCUGGCACCUUCAUUUUGGAUUUCUAACCCCCAAAACCGUGAGACAACAAAAUUCCAGGUUUUGAGCCAUCCAGUUUGUGGUACUUUGUUAUGGAAUCCCCAGGAAACUGACACCCUCUCCUUGCCCUGUGUCCUGAGCCUCGCUGCUUCUCUCUGACAUCUCAUCUUUACCCUCCAAGGCAUCUUCCCCGCGGAGGUCAGCCGUCCCUCUAAAACAUGUCUGAUGGGUGUCACUCCUGGCUUAGAACCCGUCAGAGAUUCCCUUUUGUUUACUGGAUGACGUCCAAGCUUCUUGGCGUGGUGUGUGUCCCCUGCUCCACCUCUUCUGCCUCACCUGUCACUCACCCCAGCCUGGCCCAGUCAACCCCGAGGUGGACGCGGAUGGGCAACUGCCAACGGGGCCGCUGUGUUUGGAUUGAAGAGCACCAGGUGUGACUUUGAAUUUGAUGCAGCUAGAUGGCUCUUCCGGCCGGGUCCACCGCUGUGCCCAGGACUCUCUUCUUUCUACGGUUCUUGCAUUUAAAUGACCUUCCUGGCCUCCACAGUGGUUCAGGUUGCAGCCUUCACUCACAAAUUCGCAAACACAGCAGGCUCCUGCACAGGGAUGCAGUGGUGAGGGCAGUAACCCAGAGUCCGACUGCCUGGUUUGCAUUGUCUGCUCGGCCACUUACUGACAGACUGACCUUGCUCUGUGCCUCAGUUUUCCCAUCUGUCAAAUGGGGAUAGUAAUAGUAGCGACCUGGGAGGGCUGUUGGGAGGAGUAAACGAGUUCAUUCCUGUAGAUGUUCCCAACGGGCCUGGCUUCUGUUAAGAGCUCAAAAAGUGUGAGCACCUAACAUUUUAUGCUGCAUUUUCUCCCCUUCCAGUCUAUUCUUACUUACUGUUGUUGUUGUUGUUGUUUUUAAAGAUUGGCACCUGAGCUAACAACUGUUGCCAAUCUUUUUUUUUUCUUUCUGCUUUAUCUCCCCCAAAUCCCCCCAGUAUGUAUAGUUGUAUAUUCUAGUUGUGAGUGCCUCUAGUUGUGGCAUGUGGGACGCCGCCUCAAUGUGGCCUGAUGAGCGGUGCCAUGUUGGCGCCCAGGAUCCAAACCAGUGGAACCCCGGGCGGCUGCAGUGGAGCGCCCAAACUUAACCACUCGGCCAUCGGGCUGGCCCCUAUUCUUGCUUACUUUUUAAGGUUCAGUUGCGGGCAUUGUCAUUUCUAGAAAGCCUUCCAGGACCUUCGCUGUUGACAGAGUAACCUGUUGUCUUUUUUUUUUUUUGAAGUAGUGUUACAUUUGUUGUUUACCUGGACUACUAGCUUUAGAAGUUGGUUACUCUUGUUUUUUUUUUUGAGGAUGAUUAGCCCUGAGCUAACUACUGCCAGUCCUCCUCUUUUUGCUGAGGAAGACUGGUCCUGAGCUAACAUCCAUGCCCAUCUUCCUCUACUUUAUAUGUGGGAUGCCUGCCACAGCAUGGCUUUUGCCAAGCGGUGCCAUGUCCACACCCGGGAUCCGAACUGGUGAACCCCAGGACGCCGAGAAGCGGAACGUGCAAAGUUAACCGCUGCGCCACCGGCCCGGCCCCUCUUGUUUUUAUUAAAAUAUAAUUGACAUACAGUAUCCUAUUAGUUUCAGGUGUAUAUCAUAGUGAUUCAAUAUUUAUAUCUAUUAUGAAAUGAUCACCACAAUAAGUCUGGUUACCAUUCUCACCAUACAAAGUUAUUACAAUAUUGUUGACUCUAAUCCCUAUGCUGUACAUUACAUCCUCAUGCCUUAUUUAUUUUAUAACUGGAAGUUUGUACCUCUUAAUCCCCUUUACCUAUUUCACCUGCCCCAACCCCUCCCCGCUCUGGUGACCAUCAGUUUGAUCUCUGUAUCUGUGAGUCUGUUUCUGUUUUGUUUGUUUGUUUUGUUUUUAGAUUCCACAUAUAAGUGAAGUCAUACAGGAUUUGUCUUUCUCUCUGACUUAUUUCACUUAGCAUAACACCCUCUAGGUCUGUCCCAUUUUCUCUAUUAAUCUGUUGUGUGCCUCUCUCCGUGGAGGCCCUGGAAUUCUUAAGGGCAGGCCCAUCCUAGAUCUCGGGCAUCCCUGUCCCUGGCAUGGGGCCUGGCACGCUGUAGGUCUUCGGUUUGUUGCUUGCUCAGGAAAAGAACAAGUCGUGAGCUGAGCGUCCUCACAAGUGUCAGGAUGUGCCAGGGUUGACCUCAAACUCUCCUGUCAGCUGAAAACACUUGUCUAGGGCUUUUCUGUUCCCAUGGGGAGGUGUGGGGAGUGUCUGAGUUCUCUGAGAGAUCAGGGCAAUGGGAGGGAGAAACCGGCCUGGGUGGAGAACCAGCCUUCCGGCUGACUUCACAGUUAAAGGGACUUGCUGCCGUCUCAAAGCUCCUGUGGGAUCUGCUGGACCCGGUCUUUUGAUGGGCAGGCCAAGUUCAUUCGCAGCUCCGCAGUGCCUCACAUAGGGUCAUCUUCCCGUGAACCUCUGUAAAGCUUGGUGUCCAUACCUUUCAUGAAUUUUAAGGAGUCAGAGCUAAUUUAAAUAUGCUUCAGUUUUAAGGUGAUAUGAGAAAGAAUUGGGUUAACAAGAACUUUCUGGAUCAACUGAGAGAGACAAAGACCCUGAGAAAAAAAUGUCAAGCCCUUCAAAUAUCCUAACAAUGUUUAUUCUUUUAGGAUUUUUGGAGUGGUAAAGACUUAGUGAUGGGUGGGCAGAAAUUAAGAUUUUUAAGUGCUGGUUUUGGAUUCUUUGGUUUGUCCUGGAACUUAGAACAGUGUAGACCAUUAACUCAGGGCUCAGUUCCCUGCAGUUAAAGAUGCUUGCUCUCUCAGUGCAGACUGGACUUAAUGACUUUUUAAUACGGCUUGGAGAUGCAGAAAAGAAAAAGUCCCCUGGCCGGCGUGUUGGGCUUAGAAGUUUAAAUAGUGAAUUUGGAUGUUUUGUUUCAGCCCCUAGCCUGGUUUCUUGCACCUGGGCGGUCCUCAAUAAAUAUUUUGUGUUUUCCAUUAUAUUGAGAGUGUCAGGUUUUUGGAUCUGAAACUCAGGACCCUGGAGAGGUUCUUGUGAGUCCAGGCAGCUGUUUCCGACAGACCAAAGGGCAUGUUUGUCCCUUGAAGGGGCCGUGUGAAAGGAGAGCUCAGCACAUCCUGGAACUGGGCAUUUAUGAGAUCAGGAAUCCCUCGUACUUCAGAAACUCUUCAUCUAACCCCACUCCCUCCUGGCCACACGUUACAAUCAGAAGGUCGAUAGCUGUACUGCCCACUCUGGUGACCACUGGCCACGUGGCCACAGAGCCCUUGAAAUGUGGCUCGUCUGAAUUAGGAUGUGCUGUAAGCGUAAACUGUAGACCAGAUUUCAAAGACUUAGUGAGAAAGAGAAGAAUGUAAGAUAGCUCAUUAAUAAUUUUUAUAUUGAUUAUAUGUUGAGAUAUUAUUUGUGAUAUACUGGGUUGAAUAAAGC